CUACGUGCCAGCAGCCGCGGUAAUACGUAGGGUGCGAGCGUUAAUCGGAAUUACUGGGCGUAAAGCGGGCGCAGACGGUUACUUAAGCAGGAUGUGAAAUCCCCGGGCUCAACCUGGGAACUGCGUUCUGAACUGGGUGACUAGAGUGUGUCAGAGGGAGGUAGAAUUCCACGUGUAGCAGUGAAAUGCGUAGAGAUGUGGAGGAAUACCGAUGGCGAAGGCAGCCUCCUGGGAUAACACUGACGUUCAUGCCCGAAAGCGUGGGUAGCAAACAGGAUUAGAUAUCCUGGUAGUCCACGCCCUAAACGAUGUCGAUUAGCUGUUGGGCAGCAUGACUGCUUAGUAGCGAAGCUAACGCGUGAAAUCGACCGCCUGGGGAGUACGGUCGCAAGAUUAAAACUCAAAGGAAUUGACGGGGACCCGCACAAGCGGUGGAUGAUGUGGAUUAAUUCGAUGCAACGCGAAGAACCUUACCKGUCUUGACAU
RNAcentral lists this ribosomal RNA (486 nucleotides) under uncultured bacterium. RNAcentral's name for it is "bacterial SSU rRNA". It matches the Rfam family "Bacterial small subunit ribosomal RNA", at positions 501 to 987 of the family's 1533-position model. The record is from RNAcentral.